Molecule: long non-coding RNA, 1715 nt
Organism: Callithrix jacchus (white-tufted-ear marmoset)
Lineage: Eukaryota; Metazoa; Chordata; Mammalia; Primates; Cebidae
Source: Ensembl
GAGUCCACCUUAAUCAGUUACUGCUGCAAUGACCCUAAUUCCAAAUAAGGUCACAUUUUGAGGGACUGGGGUAGGGGAGGUUAGGAUUCUAACAUAAUUUUUUUGAGGGAGGCACAAUUCAAACCAUAACAAAUAGUCUUGUUUGGAUAAGACAUUUUCAGUUACAAAGCCUUACUCAAUGAUUUUGUGUGAUCCUACUGAAGGACUUUGAGUUCGGCAGUCUCCUCAGUUUACAAAUGAGAAAAGAGCACAGAGAGCUCCCAGGAUCCAAGCUACUAAAUGGCAUAGAAGAAAGCACACUUCUGUCUCCUGACCCUACCUUCUGGAGAGUCCUCUCCUCCACCACACCUCUUAUCUCCAUCAGUACAUGCCAAGGCAGAUGCUGAGCAAUCAUUUGUGCCAGGCCCUGUGCUUCCUGCCACAGAGAAGUCAAACAAUGAGGUGCCCAUCCUGCUUGCAGCCUCUUGUAAUUGGCGACAGUGCUAGCAAUGGAUUCAGAGCCAAGAUUCCGAGGUUCAGGGGAAGAUUCUCUACGGGGGUGUGAUCAGCGACAGUUCCCAAGGGAAUGUAGCUGGGAUUCUUCCACCCUGUCUUCCUCCCUUCUUUAACUCCUUAUUUCCUUUCUCUUCUGUUUCGUUUUCUUCUUUCUUCCUCUUUCACUCACCUAACUCUCCCUUUCCUUCUACCAUUUAUUCUCACUCUUUCUUGCAUUUUUUUCCUGAACACCCAUUUGAAACUAUUGACAUAUAUCCUAUGACUAACUUCUUUUAAUGUAGCAAUUCCUGGAGUACAGCCAUUUUGCUCAACAUCAGCUUGUUACAAUGUUGAUGAAAAAAAUCAAUUUCUGUCUGGGUCUGCUGUGUGGAAUUUGCAUGUUCUCCCCACAUCUGUGUGUGUUUUCCCUGGGUGUUUCUGUUGUCUCCUACAUCCCAGAUAUGUGCACCUUAGGUGUCUUGGCAUUCUUCUUCCUGCUACCAUGUGAAGAAGGAUGUGUUUGCUUCCUCUUCUGACAUGACUGUAAGUUUCCUAAGGCUUCCCCAGCCCUGCAGAACUGUGAGUCAAUUAAACCUCUUUCCUUUAUAGAUUACCCAGUCUCAGGUAUUUCUUCACAGCAGUGUGAGAAUGGAGUGAUAUACGUAAAUUUGUACCACAGAGAGUAAGGCACUGCUGUAAACAUACCUGAAUAUGUGAAAGUGACUUUGGAACUGGGUCACGGGCAGAGGUUGGAACAGUUUGGAAGGCUCAGAAGAAGACAGGAAGAUGUGGGAAAGUUUGGAAUUUCCUCAGAGACUUGUGAAAUGGUUUUGACAAAAAUGCUGAUUGUGAUAUGGACAUUGAAGUCCAGGCUGAGGUGGUCUCAGCCUGGAAAAGGUGACUCUUGUUAUGUUUUAGAAAGAGGCUGGUGUCAUUUUGCCUCUGCCCUAGAGAUCAGUGGAACUUUGAACUUGAGAGAGAUAAUUUAGGGCAUCUGGCAGAAGAAUUUACUAAAGAGCAAAGCAAGAUAUUACUCGGGUGCUGUGAAAAGCAUUCAGUUUUGUGUGUUCGCAAAGAUAUUGUUUGAAAUUGGAACUUAUGUUUGAAAAGGAAGCACAUAAAAGUUUGGAAAAUUUGCAGCCUGACAAUGUGAUAAAAAAGCAGAACCCAUUUUCUGAGGAUAAAUUCGAGCUAGCUGCAGAAUUAUGUAAAUAAUGACAAAUGUUAAUCACCAAGACAAU